Molecule: ribosomal RNA, 652 nt
Filed under: uncultured bacterium
Lineage: Bacteria
Description: bacterial SSU rRNA
Rfam family: Bacterial small subunit ribosomal RNA
Source: RNAcentral
GGAGCUAACGCGUUAAGUAGACCGCCUGGGGAGUACGGUCGCAAGAUUAAAACUCAAAUGAAUUGACGGGGGCCCGCACAAGCGGUGGAGCAUGUGGUUUAAUUCGAUGCAACGCGAAGAACCUUACCUACUCUUGACAUCCAGAGAAGCCAGCGGAGACGCAGGUGUGCCUUCGGGAGCUCUGAGACAGGUGCUGCAUGGCUGUCGUCAGCUCGUGUUGUGAAAUGUUGGGUUAAGUCCCGCAACGAGCGCAACCCUUAUCCUUGUUUGCCAGCGAGUAAUGUCGGGAACUCCAGGGAGACUGCCGGUGAUAAACCGGAGGAAGGUGGGGACGACGUCAAGUCAUCAUGGCCCUUACGAGUAGGGCUACACACGUGCUACAAUGGCGCAUACAGAGGGCGGCGAACUUGCGAGAGUAAGCGAAUCCCAAAAAGUGCGUCGUAGUCCGGAUUGGAGUCUGCAACUCGACUCCAUGAAGUCGGAAUCGCUAGUAAUCGUAGAUCAGAAUGCUACGGUGAAUACGUUCCCGGGCCUUGUACACACCGCCCGUCACACCAUGGGAGUGGGCUGCAAAAGAAGUGGGUAGUUUAACCUUCGGGAGGACGCUCACCACUUUGUGGUUCAUGACUGGGGUGAAGUCGUAACAAGGUAA